Molecule: ribosomal RNA, 460 nt
Filed under: uncultured bacterium
Lineage: Bacteria
Description: partial 16S ribosomal RNA
Rfam family: Bacterial small subunit ribosomal RNA
Source: RNAcentral
CCUACGGGUGGCAGCAGUGAGGAAUAUUGGUCAAUGGGCGGAAGCCUGAACCAGCCAAGUCGCGUGAGGGAAUAAGGCCCUACGGGUCGUAAACCUCUUUUGUCGGGGAGCAAGGUCGGGCUCGUGUCCCUGCCCGGAGAGUCCCCGGAGAAAAAGCAUCGGCUAACCCCGUGCCAGCAGCCGCGGUAAUACGGGGGAUGCGAGCGUUUCCCGGAUUUAUUGGGUUUAAAGGGGGCGUAGGCGGGCUUUUAAGCCAGGGGUAAAAAUUCGGGGCUCAACCCCGGCCGGCCGUUGAAACUGGGGGCCUUGAGUGGGCGAGAGGAAGGCGGAAUGCGUGGUGUAGCGGUGAAAUGCAUAGAUAUCACGCAGAACCCCGAUUGCGAAGGCAGCCUUCCGGAGCCCUACUGACGCUGAGGCACGAAAGUGCGGGGAUCGAACAGGAUUAGAUACCCCUGUAGUC